This 253-nucleotide ribosomal RNA is filed under the name uncultured bacterium. RNAcentral describes it as "partial 16S ribosomal RNA". It matches the Rfam family "Bacterial small subunit ribosomal RNA", at positions 524 to 776 of the family's 1533-position model. The record is from RNAcentral.
UACGGGGGGGGCAAGCGUUGUUCGGAAUUACUGGGCGUAAAGGGCUCGUAGGCGGCCAACUAAGUCAGACGUGAAAUCCCCAGGCUCAACCUGGGAACUGCGUCUGAUACUGGAUGGCUUGAAUCCGGGAGAGGGAUGCAGAAUUCCAGGUGUAGCGGUGAAAUGCGUAGAUAUCUGGAGGAACACCGGUGGCGAAGGCGGCUCUCUGGGCCUUACCUGACGCUGAGGAGCGAAAGCUGGGGGAGCGAACAGG